Molecule: unclassified non-coding RNA, 293 nt
Filed under: uncultured Fibrobacteraceae bacterium
Lineage: Bacteria; Pseudomonadati; Fibrobacterota; Fibrobacteria; Fibrobacterales; Fibrobacteraceae
Description: contains 16S-23S intergenic spacer region
Source: RNAcentral
AGGACUACCCGGGUAUCUAAUCCUGUUUGCUCCCCAUGCUUUCGAGCCUCAGCGUCAAUAUGGGUCCAGUCAGCCGCCUUCGCAACUGGUGUUCUUGGAGAUCUCUACGCAUUCCACCGCUACACCUCCAAUUCCACUGACCUCUCCCCUAUUCAAGAUUCCCAGUUUCAAGUGCCUGUCCGGGGUUGGGCCCCGGGAUUAACACCUGACUUAGAAACCCGCCUACGCUCCCUUUACGCCCAGUGAUUCCGAACAACAUUUGCCCCCCUCGUAUUACCGCGGCGGCUGGCACC